CUGCUUUGCAACCUCUGCUGAUCAGAGCUCGACGCUGGGAAAGCAGGAAAUGUAAUUCAAAAGUUCGCGGGGCUUUUCCUGUUUACAUGCCCGCUGCAUCCGAG
This is a non-coding RNA of Chelonoidis abingdonii (Abingdon island giant tortoise), 104 nucleotides long. Lineage: Eukaryota; Metazoa; Chordata; Testudines; Testudinidae. The record is from RefSeq and is a predicted model, not a curated record.